GGGGUUGUGGCUCAGAGGUAGAGUGCUUGCCUAUUAUGUGAGAGGCCCUGGGUUUGAUCCUCAGCACCACA
RNAcentral lists this transfer RNA (71 nucleotides) under Marmota monax (woodchuck). RNAcentral describes it as "tRNA.Asn". It matches the Rfam family "tRNA". From Rfam's summary of the family: Transfer RNA (tRNA) molecules are approximately 80 nucleotides in length. Their secondary structure includes four short double-helical elements and three loops (D, anti-codon, and T loops). The record is from RNAcentral. Lineage: Eukaryota; Metazoa; Chordata; Mammalia; Rodentia; Sciuridae.